UGAAAAUUCACCAGAGGAGUUCAACAGUAGAUUUGAACAGGUAGAAGGAAGAAUCCAUGAAUUUAAGGACAGAUCAGUUGAGAUCCAGUUUAAUGAACAUGGGAAAAAAGAAGCAAAAUGAACAAAACUGCAAAGUCCUUUUGGACACCAUUAAGUAUACCAACUUCGGGGAGUUCAGAAGGAAAGAAGAAAAAGGGAUAGAAAUAGUAUUUGAAGAUAUCAUAGUUAUAAAUUCCUCAAAUUAAUCCACAAAUGCAUGAAGCACCAUGAACUAUAAGGAGGUUAGAUUUUUUUAUGCAUCAUAAAUAAUUAAACUCUCUAAUAUCUAGGAACAUUUUGCAAGAGAGAAAAGUGACUUAUGAUGUACAAAGGAUUCUCAAGAAGAUUAACAAGUGGUUUUAUCAUUAGAUACUAUUGGAGCCAAGGGUAAUUGGGUGGCAUUCAGAAUUUAGAAAGAAAAAAAGACUUUUAAUGAAGAAUUAUUAUUAUUCAGCAAAACUGUCCUUCAAAAUGAUAGACAUCCCCCCCCAAAAUAAAUCCUAAAUGACUUUGUUACUAGCAAACCUGCCCCAUAGGAAAUACCAAGUGAAUUCUUGUGGUCCAAAUGAAAGGACACUAGAGAAGUGUAAAUUGGAUACAAAUGAAAAAAUAAAAAGCAACAUUUCAGGCAACUACAAAAAGAAUAAAUACAUUUUUUUUUUUACUUGUAACUUUUCUUCCCUUCAGUCUUAUUUAAAAGACAGUUGCAUAAAGCAGUAAUUUUCAUUCUGUUGAUGGACAUACUGUUCUAAAAAUAUAACUUGUACUAGAAAACUGUAAAGGAGGAGGGAGAGAAUGGAGAAAAAGGCUUUAUAUAUUACUGAAAUUAAGUUUUUUUAUUUUAAUCCAGAUAACUGCCUUGGAAACUACUGAGUAAAAACUAAAAAUAAUAUUAUAAGAAAAAUUUAAGUAUACUUACUAAAAACAUCAGUUUAAUAUAAAGGAAAGCAAUAUUGAAAGAAACAAAGGAUGAAAAAUAUCUUAAUAUGUAGUGAAUCAAAGAAGAAAUCACAAUGAAAUUGGAAAAUACUUUGUUAUGACGGGAGAUUAAAAACAAACAUGGUCCAUCCUAAUUCUUGCUGGUCAGUUUGUGGCCUGACAGGUUUUACUUAUUGAACAGAGGACCCUAGAACAAUAAGGAGCAAUUUUAGUGGUGUCCCAAUACUCUACUUAAGAUUCUUGGGGAUAAAGGGAGAGGAAACUAAAUCCGUUAAGCAGAAGGAAGGACAAAACAGAUAUGCAAUAAAUGAAGUAGAAAUUACAAAAUCAUAAAAAACAAAUAAAUUCUCUGAAGAGAUAAGCAGAAUGGAAAACCUUGAGCUUGAUUGACCAUGAAAUAAAUAGAAGAUUCACAUUAUUAAAAAAAAAAAUGUGUGUG
RNAcentral lists this long non-coding RNA (1417 nucleotides) under Marmota monax (woodchuck). Lineage: Eukaryota; Metazoa; Chordata; Mammalia; Rodentia; Sciuridae. The record is from RNAcentral.